UACGUAGGUGGCGAGCGUUGUCCGGAUUUACUGGGCGUAAAGAGCGCGCAGGCGGUCGUACAAGUCGCGUGUGAAAGCCCCCGGCUCAACUGGGGAGGGUCAUUCGAUACUGAUCGACUCGAAGGCAGGAGAGGGUAGUGGAAUUCCCGGUGUAGUGGUGAAAUGCGCAGAUAUCAGGAGGAACACCGGUGGCGAAGGCGGUUCUCUGGGCCUGUACUGACGCUGAGGAACGAAAGCGUGGGGAGCGAACAGG
RNAcentral lists this ribosomal RNA (253 nucleotides) under uncultured bacterium. RNAcentral describes it as "partial 16S ribosomal RNA". It matches the Rfam family "Bacterial small subunit ribosomal RNA", at positions 524 to 776 of the family's 1533-position model. The record is from RNAcentral.